GUCCACGCUGUAAACGAUGAGUACUAAAUGUUUGUAGGGGAACCUAUGAGUAUUGAAGUUAACACGAUAAGUACUCCGCCUGGGGAGUACGGCCGCAAGGUUGAAACUCAAAUGAAUUGACGGGGGCCCGCACAAGCGGUGGAGCAUGUGGUUUAAUUCGAUGCAACGCGAAGAACCUUACCUACCCUUGACAUCCUGCGAAGUUGACUGAGAGGUUGACGUGCCGCAAGGACGCAGAGACAGGUGCUGCAUGGCUGUCGU
Molecule: ribosomal RNA, 261 nt
Filed under: uncultured bacterium
Lineage: Bacteria
Description: partial 16S ribosomal RNA
Rfam family: Bacterial small subunit ribosomal RNA
Source: RNAcentral